Molecule: long non-coding RNA, 2178 nt
Organism: Pteropus alecto (black flying fox)
Lineage: Eukaryota; Metazoa; Chordata; Mammalia; Chiroptera; Pteropodidae
Exons: 3
Source: RefSeq, a predicted model, not a curated record
CAUUCAUAGUUUUUCUAUUAUUUAAGUUGUUGCAUGUUUUGGUCAUUGUGGAGGAAGGGAGGUGGUGCGUUCUAGGUGCUUAUUUUAUUUUCGGAAAGUAAUACUUCUCAUGUGUGUGUGUGUGUGUGUAUAAUGUCCCGACCCAGACUAUCCUCACUGGCAUAAAUAAAUAAGUGUAAUUCGUGUACACUGGUUGGAAAAUUCACGUCGAACAGAAAAGAAACAGAACAGGAAGUGGAAUCGUCCCUCCUCCCACUCUCCAAUCACUGUCCCCAAAAUUUACCCUCAUCAGUGUUCCUUGUGAUUCUCCCAGGACUUUACCCCCUCCGUACACACCAUCGUGUGUCUCCCACUACUCUGCAUACAUACAAGCUCUUAGAAUGUAGAGCUAGUGGGGUCGCGGGAUCCAGCCCUGUGCACCAGGGGCCCCUCCUUCUGAUGCAAGGACUUUGAGGAGGAGGUGGAGGCCCCUGCGGGCUCACUGGGGUCAGAGCUUUGUGAUUUCAGCAGGGAGGAAUGGGCGAAGGGUGCACGGCCAACAGAAGGGGGGAAAUGGAGCAAGCUCUGGACAAUUGCUGCUAGGAAAUCAGCCAGACUGUGGUGAGCAACCCUUUGAGGAAGGUAUCAUCAGCCCCAUUUUCUAGAUGACAAGACCCGAGGCACAGAGAGCUGAAGGUACUUGUUCAAAGUCACCCCGUUGCAGAGCCAGGAUUUGAACUCAGUUCUGUCUGACUUUGGGGUCUGUUACCCCCACUCAGAGGUAAUGAACAUGGGGAACGCCAAACUUUUGUUUUAUGCCCCACCUCCACCCAUCAUCCGAGGGUAACCAGUAUCCUGUCUUAAAACGCCAUGGAUUAGUUUUGCCCAUUUUCAAACUUUAUAAAAGGUAAUCAUAUGUGUAUUAUUUGGUGUCUGAGUUCUUUCAUUUAGUCAUGUUUGGGAGAUUUAUUCACGUGGUUUGUGCUGAUUCAAUCUCAUUGCUGUAUGCUAUUCCAUUGUAUAAAGAACACCUUAUUUUUAAAGACCUCUUGACUUGUGGUUAAACAUUCUACACUUGAAUUGCUCUACUGGGCAACUCCCGUGGUUUAUCUGGCUAGUCUGGGUGUCUCUGAAAGAGGCUUAAUCUUCCCAGAAGGCACUUCGUUUUUAAAAAAGACUUUUUGUUAGCCCCAUGGCUCCUUAACUGCUUAAAUACAUGCAGAGGAGGUCUGUGAGCAAUGUCGCUGGGCCCAGUGAUCCCCCUCCAACUGUCCCCUUGCAUGCCCCUUUAUUCCUCUAAGUCACUUUGCCAAGAAGAUGACACCUGAUCGUGUUUAGGUAGCUGCAACCCUUAUUACCAGAAAUAGGACAGUUUUGAGAUCAAGGCAGUUUGAAGUUUUCUCUGAGAUAUCAGGAGCGAAGGUACCUAUUAGAAAGUUUAAUGUGUCUCUUAAUAGCCGUGUGAUCUUGGGCAAAUCAUCUAGCUUUUUUGAGCCUCAGCCUCCUCAUCUGCACCGUGGGGGAGAUGGCGACAAACAUAGGACCUCACAGCCGAUGAGGGUUAUUUGCAAGAUGGGUCUGAAGACUCAAGGGAAAGAAAUGUCUACUGAAGGAGAAGACCGAGUAGCUUCAGCCCCUGAAUUCAAAGGAGUGUUUGGCUGAAGCUUGGAUCUUAAGAAGAAGCAGAAGAAGCGUCAAGAAACAGCUAGGAGAAAUCACUCGAUCCACUUAGAUGAUGCGCAUUAUGGGCGUAAAUGCCACUCAAAUGCUUUCGAGACAUACGGUGGUUCUCCCUGCAUGUGUUUCUUUUUUCCUCUUCUUCUUUUUUCGUUUUUCUUUUCUUUUUAAAAAAAUUCCGCCUCUAUCUUUGCAACAUUAAAAUCCUCCAAAGCAUUCUGUUUGUUUUAGGGGCAAGGGGGUGGUAGAGAAGCUGUGAGCCUGCAUUGCAUUCUAGCCUGGGCCGAGGAGAAGGGGAGACUGGGGUUGAGGAAGGGACAGUGAGUGGCAGCCACGCAGGAGGAGACGCGUUGUUCCUGGAGCCGAUGGGAGAGGCAAAGGGAUGUAAUGGGAGUUCGCUUGGGGUCAUGCAUUACAUCCAAGUGUGUAUUUCAGUACGACCUUCACCUCAACACCGUCUGCGCCCCCAUUCUUAACUGAGCACACGCCAAGGUAAAAAUAAAACCAAUUCACAGUCCUAUA